Molecule: ribosomal RNA, 253 nt
Filed under: uncultured bacterium
Lineage: Bacteria
Description: partial 16S ribosomal RNA
Rfam family: Bacterial small subunit ribosomal RNA
Source: RNAcentral
UACGUAGGGUGCGAGCGUUAAUCGGAAUUACUGGGCGUAAAGCGUGCGCAGGCGGUUUUGUAAGCCAGAUGUGAAAGCCCCGGGCUCAACCUGGGAAUGGCAUUUGGGACUGCAAGGCUUGAGUGCGGCAGAGGAGACUGGAAUUCCUGGUGUAGCAGUGAAAUGCGUAGAGAUGCGGAGGAACACCUGUGGCGAAGGCGGCCCUCUGGACGGAUACUGACGCUGAGACGCGAAAGCGUGGGGAGCAAACAGG